GACGGAGGAUGCAAGCGUUAUCCGGAAUUACUGGGCGUAAAGGGCGUCUAGGCGGUCCUGUAAGUCACCUGUGAAAGCCCUCGGCUUAACCGGGGAAGGUCGGGUGAUACUGCUAGACUUGGGUGUAGGAGAGGAGAGUGGAACUCACAGAGUAGCGGUGGAAUGCGUAGAUACUGUGAGGUACCCCGAUGGCGAAGGCAACUCUCUGGCCUACUACCGACGCUGAAGCGCGAAAGCGUGGGGAGCAAAGGGGAUUAGAUACCCGCGUA
This 269-nucleotide ribosomal RNA is filed under the name uncultured prokaryote. RNAcentral describes it as "partial 16S ribosomal RNA". It matches the Rfam family "Bacterial small subunit ribosomal RNA", at positions 524 to 792 of the family's 1533-position model. The record is from RNAcentral.